GUAGGGAAUAUUGCGCAAUGGGGGAAACCCUGACGCAGCGACGCCGCGUGAGUGAUGAAGGCCUUCGGGUCGUAAAGCUCUGUUGCAGGGGAAUAAAAAAAUGAAGGUACCCUGUGAGGAAGGAUCGGCUAACUUCGUGCCAGCAGCCGCGGUAAGACGAGGGAUCCUAGCGUUGCUCGGAAUCAUUGGGCGUAAAGAGGGCGUAGGUGGCUUGGUAAGUCAGGUGUGAAAGCACAGGGCUCAACCCUGGAAGUGCAUUUGAUACUGCUGAGCUUGAGUGUCGGAGAGGUUACCGGAAUACCUGGUGUAGUGGUGAAAUACGUAGAUAUCAGGUGGAACACCGGAGGCGAAGGCGGGUAACUGGACGAACACUGACACUGAGGCCCGAAAGCGUGGGGAUCAAACAGGAUUAGAAACCCCAGUAGUCC
Molecule: ribosomal RNA, 428 nt
Filed under: uncultured bacterium
Lineage: Bacteria
Description: bacterial SSU rRNA
Rfam family: Bacterial small subunit ribosomal RNA
Source: RNAcentral